Xenopus tropicalis (tropical clawed frog) is the source of this 513-nucleotide long non-coding RNA. RefSeq lists it as uncharacterized. The transcript has 3 exons. Lineage: Eukaryota; Metazoa; Chordata; Amphibia; Anura; Pipidae. The record is from RefSeq and is a predicted model, not a curated record.
GCUCAGCCCGGGUCAUUCCCAUUUCUCAGCUGGCUGACCCCUUCCCUGUGCCCUGCCACUCGGUUCCAGCCUCAAAGAAGCUGCUCAUAGUCCUUGCUACAACCAUUUCUUUCAAUCCUGCCGCAUUACAGCAUUUUGCCAAAAAUAUGUCUAACCUCCAGAGCUUGGAAAACACCCUAGAACACUGCUGUGGGGAUAGACCAAAAAAUGGAUGGAAAGAGUGCAUCAAUCUCUUUAAUCAAAUUUUUUAGACUGCACGCAGAUCGUUAGCCAGAGAAAGGUCAUAACACCUCAAACCUGGCAAAGAGAAGCUGAAUUUGAUAUAUCCUAUUAUAAACCGAGUGCUGCACAGCUCCAUGGAUCUCUUUCUACUCAUGGGGGAAGAAGCAGGUAAAAAGUGACUUUAUUCAGUGACAUCAACAGAUGAAAAAUGUCUUGCUACAUUAUUCCUAUGCAAAGCAGCCUAAAGCAAUGUUCUACUGUUAAAUGGUAGUAUAUCUGUGAGAAGAAUAA